This is a long non-coding RNA of Cynoglossus semilaevis (tongue sole), 166 nucleotides long. RefSeq lists it as uncharacterized. The record is from RefSeq and is a predicted model, not a curated record. The transcript has 2 exons. Lineage: Eukaryota; Metazoa; Chordata; Actinopteri; Pleuronectiformes; Cynoglossidae.
CCAUGGACCACAACACACAGAUGGAUUUCAGCAGUUGUGGGGUUCUAAUGUUAAAGUACGCCGGAAAUUUCCUUCUAAGUGGAAACAUAUCUGAUGUGCAGACAACACCAGAAGCUGUCAGUGAACAAAGGAUGGACAUAGCCUGUAUAUUAUUGGAAAAUAGCUA